GGCUCCCCAAAGCAGGAGUGAGGCAGGUGAAAAAUAUACUUGAUCCCAACUAGUCUCCAUGGCAGCAGGGCUGCUUGUCUGGCCGGAUAACAACAUCCCUCAUCAGGAAGAGUCUUAUCCUGUGACCUAAGAUAAGAGAUGGAGAAGAAAGAGAGAAAGUGAAAGAGAACAGAACAUUGAAGCCUCCUUCAGAAUAGUAGAGGCCAGGCUCAAACCUGGGUAUGCACAUGGCUCACUACUCAGUCACCAAGUUGCAGAUGUUACCAUGACACCAACCUGACUUCCCUGGGCAAAUGACCUCACCAAUAUGUCCUGGAACCUCACCUCCUGAGAAACUUACCCUACUAGGGAAAGGUAGAGACAGGCUGAGGAUAUCAAUCAAUCUUUCAACACCUAUGUCCAGCAGAGAAACAAUUACAAAAGCCAGACUUUCUAUAUUCUACACCCCAUAAAAAUCUUUGGUCCCUACUUCCAAAGGGAUAAGAAAAA
Erinaceus europaeus (western European hedgehog) is the source of this 489-nucleotide long non-coding RNA. RefSeq lists it as uncharacterized. The record is from RefSeq and is a predicted model, not a curated record. NCBI's taxonomy places the organism in Eukaryota, Metazoa, Chordata, Mammalia, Eulipotyphla, Erinaceidae. The transcript is spliced from 3 exons.